GGCACUAUAGCCAAGUGGUUAAGGCGACAGAUUAGAAUUCAGGUUUUAUGAUAUCACUUCUAUCUGUUACUCUCUGAGUGCGCAGGUUCAAAUCCUGCUGGUGUCG
This is a non-coding RNA of Desarmillaria tabescens, 106 nucleotides long. NCBI's taxonomy places the organism in Eukaryota, Fungi, Basidiomycota, Agaricomycetes, Agaricales, Physalacriaceae. The record is from the annotation of a RefSeq genome assembly.